UCUUUACGGAGAGUUUGAUCCUGGCUCAGGACGAACGCUGGCGGCGUGCUUAACACAUGCAAGUGGGGCGACGAAGCAGGCUUCGGCCUGUGGCAAAGCCGCGAACGGGUGAGUAACACGUGGGUAACCUGCCCCGAUGACUGGGACAACCCGGGGAAACUCGGGCUAAUACCGGAUGUGCUCACACCACAUCAGUGGUGUGCGUAAAGGUAGCUUCGGCCUCCGCAUCGGGAUGGGCCCGCGGCCCAUUAGCUUGUUGGUGAGGUAAAGGCUCACCAAGGCUGCGAUGGGUAGCUGGUCUGAGAGGACGAUCAGCCACACUGGGACUGAGACACGGCCCAGACUCCUACGGGAGGCAGCAGUGGGGAAUCUUGCGCAAUGCGCGAAAGCGUGACGCAGCAACGCCGCGUGGGUGAAGAAGGCCUUCGGGUUGUAAAGCCCUUUCAGUUGGGACGAAGCCCGGGCGGUGAAUAGCCGUUCCGGGUGACGGUACCUUCACAAGAAGCCCCGGCUAACUACGUGCCAGCAGCCGCGGUAAUACGUAGGGGGCAAGCGUUGUCCGGAAUCAUUGGGCGUAAAGAGCGCGUAGGCGGCCCGAUAAGUCUGCUGUGAAAGUCAAGGGCUUAACCCUUGAAUGCCGGUGGAUACUGUCGGGCUAGAGUCCGGAAGAGGCGAGUGGAAUUCCUGGUGUAGCGGUGAAAUGCGCAGAUAUCAGGAGGAACACCGAUGGCGAAGGCAGCUCGCUGGGACGGUACUGACGCUGAGGCGCGAAAGCGUGGGGAGCA
Molecule: ribosomal RNA, 785 nt
Filed under: Actinomycetes bacterium
Lineage: Bacteria; Bacillati; Actinomycetota; Actinomycetes
Description: bacterial SSU rRNA
Rfam family: Bacterial small subunit ribosomal RNA
Source: RNAcentral